GCAAGCGUUGUCCGGAGUUACUGGGAGUAAAGGGCGUGCAGGCGGUUUUCUAAGUUCGGAGUGACAGUUCCCGGCUCAACUGGGGAAGGCCUACCGAAAACUGGAGAACUUGAGGGCCAGAGAGGGACAUAGAAUUCCGGGUGGAGUGGUGAAAUGCGUAGAUAUCUGGAGGAACACCGGUGGCGAAGGCGGCAUCCUGGACCGACACUGACGCUGAGGAGCGAAAGCCAGGGGAGCAAACGGG
RNAcentral lists this ribosomal RNA (244 nucleotides) under uncultured bacterium. RNAcentral describes it as "partial 16S ribosomal RNA". It matches the Rfam family "Bacterial small subunit ribosomal RNA", at positions 534 to 776 of the family's 1533-position model. The record is from RNAcentral.